This 299-nucleotide ribosomal RNA is filed under the name uncultured bacterium. RNAcentral's name for it is "partial 16S ribosomal RNA". It matches the Rfam family "Bacterial small subunit ribosomal RNA", at positions 28 to 334 of the family's 1533-position model. The record is from RNAcentral.
GAUGAACGCUGGCGGCGUGCAUAACACAUUCAAGUCGAACGGACAGUAGCAAUACUGUUAGUGGCGGACGGGUGAGUAACGCGUGAGCAAUCUGCCUUUCGGUGAGGAAUAACAGGGAGAAAUCGCUGCUAAUACCUCAUGACGUAGCGGUAUCGCAUGGUACUGCUACCAAAGAUUUAUCGCCGAAAGAUGAGCUCGCGUCCGAUUAGGUAGUUGGUGAGAUAAAAGCCCACCAAGCCGACGAUCGGUAGCCGAACUGAGAGGUUGAACGGCCACAUUGGAACUGAGAUACGGUCCAG